GCGGUCAGUGGAGGAGGGAGGAGCCUUCCAGCCCAGGGCCUGGCUGCUCCUGGCUAGCUGAAGAAGGAAAAUUCCAGUCACUUGGCUGCAGCCUGGGAACUUAUGGAAGGCAGAUGUUUUCUUGCAUGUUAUGAAACAGCCAUUGCAGAAGUAAAAUCUGUAGAAGAAUGGCCACACAGGGAACUCCAUGUCUGUCCUGGAAGAAGCAAUGAGGGAGAUGGUGACUGCUAGAACAAGGAAAGUUCCUUUGCGCUCAAGGACAUAACAAAUCAGUUGCCACUUUAACCUGUUCGGUAACUUCUCAUUUGUUCCCCAAGUUUCAUCCUGCGGGGCAGGAUGGAUAAAGGAGGGGGUCAAUAAACCUAACUCCAGAGCCCCUGUUCACCUCUGAAUGUGCAACCUUCACCAUCAGAGCCUCAAAAGCUGGAGCAGGGCACAUCUGUAAUCUCAGCACUGGAGAGAUGUAAGCAAGAGGAACCGUUCAAGGUCAUCCUCAACUACUCACUUUUGACAUAGGUGCUGCGGAUCUGAACUCAUGUCUUCACAAUUACGCAGCAAGUGCUCUUACCCACUGAGCCGUCUCCCAGCCGCAGAAUACAGCAGCCUGAAAAGGUUGCUAUGACAGACAAUCAAAGGAUUUUCCUGGAAAAGCACAGGACUGCCAGAAGAAAUGAGGCUCCCCAGCUCUGAUCAAUCAGUGACCUGACUAUGUGCCGAAUUAUUAAACUCUUGAGAACCAAUAAA
Non-coding RNA from Cricetulus griseus (Chinese hamster), 744 nucleotides. The record is from RefSeq and is a predicted model, not a curated record. Lineage: Eukaryota; Metazoa; Chordata; Mammalia; Rodentia; Cricetidae.